UCCCUGGUAGUAUAUCGGAUUAGUACACGCGCCUGUCAUUUAUCCGACCGCGCGAGAGCGGGGUUCGACUCCCCGCCAGGGAG
Non-coding RNA from Russula ochroleuca, 83 nucleotides. The record is from the annotation of a GenBank genome assembly. NCBI's taxonomy places the organism in Eukaryota, Fungi, Basidiomycota, Agaricomycetes, Russulales, Russulaceae.